Molecule: ribosomal RNA, 945 nt
Filed under: Comamonas testosteroni
Lineage: Bacteria; Pseudomonadati; Pseudomonadota; Betaproteobacteria; Burkholderiales; Comamonadaceae
Description: bacterial SSU rRNA
Rfam family: Bacterial small subunit ribosomal RNA
Source: RNAcentral
GCUGNNGAGUGGNGACGGGUGAGUAUACAUCGGAACGUGCCUAGUAGUGGGGGAUAACUACUCGAAAGAGUAGCUAAUACCGCAUGAGAUCUACGGAUGAAAGCAGGGGACCUUCGGGCCUUGUGCUACUAGAGCGGCUGAUGGCAGAUUAGGUAGUUGGUGGGGUAAAGGCUUACCAAGCCUGCGAUCUGUAGCUGGUCUGAGAGGACGACCAGCCACACUGGGACUGAGACACGGCCCAGACUCCUACGGGAGGCAGCAGUGGGGAAUUUUGGACAAUGGGCGAAAGCCUGAUCCAGCAAUGCCGCGUGCAGGAUGAAGGCCCUCGGGUUGUAAACUGCUUUUGUACGGAACGAAAAGCCUGGGGCUAAUAUCCCCGGGUCAUGACGGUACCGUAAGAAUAAGCACCGGCUAACUACGUGCCAGCAGCCGCGGUAAUACGUAGGGUGCAAGCGUUAAUCGGAAUUACUGGGCGUAAAGCGUGCGCAGGCGGUUUUGUAAGACAGUGGUGAAAUCCCCGGGCUCAACCUGGGAACUGCCAUUGUGACUGCAAGGCUAGAGUGCGGCAGAGGGGGAUGGAAUUCCGCGUGUAGCAGUGAAAUGCGUAGAUAUGCGGAGGAACACCGAUGGCGAAGGCAAUCCCCUGGGGCCUGCACUGACGCUCAUGCACGAAAGCGUGGGGAGCAAACAGGAUUAGAUACCCUGGUAGUCCACGCCGUAAACGAUGUCAACUUGGUUGUUGGGUCUUAACUGACUCAGUAACGAAGCUAACGCGUGAAGUUGACCGCCUGGGGAGUACGGCCGCAAGGUUGAAAACUCAAAGGAAUUGACGGGGACCCGCACAAGCGGUGGAGCAUGUGGUUUAAUUUCAAUGCAACGCGAAGAACCUUACCCAGGUUUUGCCAUGACAGAACUUACCAGAGAGGGUUUGGUGCUCGAAAGAAA